UAGACAUAUGCACGGACAGAUGUGUACUAGUAGAAUGUGUACUCAUUUAUACAGUUUAGCUUUACAAACUGUUAAAGUUACUUAUGCUGCAUCAGAUCUUACAUUCAUGCUGUCAAGUAGGAGAGAGGAAAUGAUGAASACCUGGGAGGAGGACUGAUUGAAGAUUGCAGACAGCUCGGUGCAAUCCAGGGAAGUGUUGGGGCAGGAGCAAGCUGGAGCUGCUGUGAGCCGGGGAGAUAGAAUGAAGCUGGAAACAAGCUGUUGGAAACUGUCCAGCUUGGGUCCACAUAAUGGAUGGGGAUUAUCAGAACUGUUUACCAGUG
Molecule: long non-coding RNA, 323 nt
Organism: Austrofundulus limnaeus
Lineage: Eukaryota; Metazoa; Chordata; Actinopteri; Cyprinodontiformes; Rivulidae
Exons: 3
Source: RefSeq, a predicted model, not a curated record